Molecule: transfer RNA, 87 nt
Filed under: Candidatus Iainarchaeum sp.
Lineage: Archaea; Nanobdellati; Candidatus Iainarchaeota; Candidatus Iainarchaeia; Candidatus Iainarchaeales; Candidatus Iainarchaeaceae
Description: tRNA-Leu
Rfam family: tRNA
About the family: Transfer RNA (tRNA) molecules are approximately 80 nucleotides in length. Their secondary structure includes four short double-helical elements and three loops (D, anti-codon, and T loops). Further hydrogen bonds mediate the characteristic L-shaped molecular structure. tRNAs have two regions of fundamental functional importance: the anti-codon, which is responsible for specific mRNA codon recognition, and the 3' end, to which the tRNAs corresponding amino acid is attached (by aminoacyl-tRNA synthetases). tRNAs cope with the degeneracy of the genetic code in two manners: having more than one tRNA (with a specific anti-codon) for a particular amino acid; and 'wobble' base-pairing, i.e. permitting non-standard base-pairing at the 3rd anti-codon position.
Source: RNAcentral
GCAGGGGUACCCAAGCGGCCAAAGGGGCAGGACUUAAGAUCCUGUGGCUUAGUGCCUUCAAGGGUUCAAAUCCCUUCCCCUGCACCA